UUGAGACAUACAAAUAUGCCGGAUAAUAAAAUCCACAGAUUAAAAUCCAAAGAAUAUGGCGGUGUUUUUAUAUAAUCAGGGGAACCUGUAUCUUAAUUCGAUAAUCCACGAUAUUUCAACCUUUAAUUGAAUUUUCAGCUUGUGUACUGCUGUCGUCAGUAUACCUAUAAAAGAUAGUGUACAAUAUUCAUACUAAUCAUGAUCACGUCAAGUCAAAGUGCAGCAAAUUUAAAGGAGAUAAUGGGUUACAAUCUUAACAAAGAUUACGGAAAAGACCAAUAAAAAGUCUUUAAAGGUGGACUUGAAAGUAAUUCUCAAAAACCAUUAGUAUAAAAAUUUCUAAACACGUACACAUCGCCCGUCGCUCUCAUCAAAAGAC
RNAcentral lists this ribosomal RNA (379 nucleotides) under Hemifridericia parva. Its description in RNAcentral is "partial 12S ribosomal RNA". The record is from RNAcentral. Lineage: Eukaryota; Metazoa; Annelida; Clitellata; Enchytraeida; Enchytraeidae.